This is a long non-coding RNA of Malaya genurostris, 1101 nucleotides long. RefSeq lists it as uncharacterized. The transcript is spliced from 2 exons. The record is from RefSeq and is a predicted model, not a curated record. Lineage: Eukaryota; Metazoa; Arthropoda; Insecta; Diptera; Culicidae.
UUUGCUCGAACUUACAGUAUAUGACAAAACAUUUGCAAUCAGUCAAUCACAAUCCUGAAGCUCUACAAAGUAUGUAAAAAGUAUAUAAGAAGGAUUCUUCGUUUAGUGUAACGAAAAUAUCGUUUUUCGCCUGUUUUCCUCCGGAACCAAAUAAGUGUGACUCCGCGUACUGUCCAUGAAAUUCUAUUUUGCAUUCAAUAUUUCGUAGCGAAUCCUUUAUUUUCAAUUACGGCCUUCUGGUUUUGUGCAAAUAAAUGUUUUUUAUAUCGAACACCUUCACGAAUAAUGCUCUUAUUUACGAUCCCCUACUGGUCCUCGAAAGCGUUAAGAUUUGACUUUUUGGCGAUGUGCAUUGGGUCGUUAGCUUGUUGAAAUAUACAUUUUAAUGAUAGACUCCUUUCAGUUUUACAUUUUUCAGAAUGUUAUUGUACAUGAAACGGUUCUCAGAUUAUAACAUUGCAUCAACCAUGCUUCACGAUCUUUCGGUAGUACGAACAAAUACAAACAAUAAUACCCCUAGGUCCCAUACAAACAGAUCGCCAAUGUUUGGUUCGCGGAAUGAACAAGUUAGCCUAGCCUAUUCCUACAUUAAUCCUUGACAUGUGAAAAUUCCCGAAAAUGUUCUCAACUGGCAACAUUAUUGUUACUAUGGCUAUGCUAGCUUUGUUAUUUUCAUAUAAACAAUCGUCCAGAUUCAACCCAACGAAAGAUGUUUCGUUUUGAGGGCCUCCAGUAAAAUAAGUAUUUUUAUUACUAAAAUGUUAAGAAAUUGUGAACCUUUUUUCAUUUUUAAAGCCCGAAAACAUUGCCCGAAAUCUUGUCACCUGGAUUGUUUGUUCGUGUGGAAAUUUAUUGGUGAUAAUACAACAUUGCAUAUAUGAAUAUCUACACUUUCGAUAGACACCAAUUAACAGUUCUAGAAGAAUCAUAAAUUGAUGCAUUCUAUGAUUCAUCAAGUCAAGCCACAAUGACUUAAAUCCUCUCUAAUGAAACUCUGAUACGUGGAAACAAUAUGGCUCUGAGAAUUGGAUAAGAAUUCUGCUAUCGUUUGAUUAUUUGGCACUCUAAAAUGCGUUUCAUAAUAAAUGCACUUAUUAUGAA